ACUCCCACCCCCAUGGCGGAGCCCCGCCCCUAGGGGCGCGCCCGGCCCACGCGCGAGAGCGCGCGAGGGCGCAGGCAACCUGAGCCUCCCAUUUUCCCAGGCCUGCGAGUGGGGGUUUCCACGUAGCCCCUUAGGCCCCUGACUCUGGUACUGUCCCGAAGAUUGGAAUCAGGAAAACUGUGAAAAAUGACGACAGACAGAUACACAAUUAGGCAAAAGGGAGGUACCUUACAAAGCUGAAAAUGACACCCAAUUCUAGCCACUUCUCCCUCACCUGCCCCCUGAAAGCCACACCCAGUGUUUUCCCCAGUCCUGGUUUCUACACUUCUAUCUUGAGGCUGACUCUCCCCCUUGUGACCUGUCCACCAAUCGGGGGAAGCAGUGGCUGGACACCCUUCAGAUCUCCAAGCAGAUCUCCACUGACCUGGGGCCCAGGCAUGCACUGAGGACACGCCCCUAAAGAUGGCUGGGCCUGCCAGAUGGCAGGAUUCACUUACCAGAAGCAGUGGGGAGACACCUAGCAAAAAGAAUACAUGAUACCACACAUAUGGGAGGCAUGAAACUGAGUGAUAUGCUGGGCAGAGACUUUUUCUUUCAUAAUAUGCACUGAAUCUGCAAAGACAUCACUUAAAGAUGUGAAACAUGUGCGUGGGUUAAUCAAAAGGGGGGACCGAAGAAACCAGGGGACACCUGGUUAAGGGGGCUGGAGCCAGGAGAACAGUGGGAGAUAGAUUUUACAGACAUUAAGCCAGGGAAAUAUGGGUACAGGUAUCUUUUAGUCCUGGUAGACACUUUUUCAGGUUGGGUAGAAGCAUAUCCAACAAAACAUGAAACUGCCUCAGGGGUAGUUAAACUGAACCUCAACUAACCUCUCCUCCGGCUGCUGGCUUUGCCUUGAUUCCCAACCGCCAUAUUACGAAGCCAUUGCCUUGAAUGCCUCGUUCAAUUCCUCCCAGGAGGAUAGCCCCCAAGGUUGCAAUUGGAGCAACCGUAAAGUAGGCCUGACUAUGCCUAUAUCCGGCCAAGGUAUAUGUAUAGGUAACCUUUCACAUGGCAGCCACUAGUGCCUUAAUAAUUCCCCUCCCCCUCCUCAGAAUGGUACAUUCCCCCAUAUGGAGCUUACUGGGCCUGCACCUCCUCAGGAUUGACUCCUUGCGUUUCCUCCGCAACCUUGUCCCAGGACCCCAAGCUUUGUAUCCUAGUCACCAUUCUGCUCUGAGUACUAUACCAUUGGGGGACGGAGCUGCUGGACUAUUGGGAACUUGGAAGAAUCAGCCGCCAGAAACAGGAACCUGUCCCCACACUGACCCUAGCCACGCUAUUCGGCUUGGCAGGGAUUGGCACAGGUAUAACCUCCCUUUUUCAAACAGCAGACCUAAGGCACCUACACACUGACGUAGAUGUGGAUCUGAGGCAUAUAGAAAAAUCACUAGGUGCCCUUGAGAAAUCGCGAUCCUCCCUUUCAGAAGUCAUACUCCAGAACCAAAGGGGCCUUGAUCUUUUGUUCCUCAAGGAACAGUGCAGCAUAAAUAUGGACCACACAGGGGUAUUCAGGGAGUCAAUAGCCGAACUUAAGUGUAGUUUAGAUGCCCGAGAAUGUGAACACACCCACGCCCAACCUUGGUACCAACAAGCGUUUGUGAAAUUCCCCUGGCUCACCACCCUCAUCUCCAUUAGAUAUUGAUCUCCACUGGACCAAUGUUAAUUCUCUUCUUCCUUAUCACUUUCAGGCCUUGUAUAGUCCACCAACUGGUCCACUUUGUGAAGGACCAGGUCCACACAGUCCAUCUCAUGGUCCUCAGGCAGCAAUAUCAGGCCCUGUCACCCCCCCACCCCCCCCCCCACCCCCCCAUGGCUAUGUUAAUGCCCUGCCCCUGGAGGUUUCUGCUCACCCCUGAACGAGCAUCAAAAUAAAAAGAACUGGGGAAUGAAGGGAAGUAGGGGUUGCACUGUGUCCAAAUGAACAGUUCCUGGAGAAACUGCAAGGCCACAGUUGAGACAGAUAUCCUGGAAAAACUGUAAGACGCUCUACCCAAGGCCACAGCUGUUGAGACAGAUAUCCUGCUGCUCUCUCUAUAUAUGCACUCUCAGUCUUGCCCCAGUGUGGUUUCCCUUGGGUGACCACCCUAGCUUGCUAGGAAUAAACCUCUCCCUUUUGUCUUUA
Monodelphis domestica (gray short-tailed opossum) is the source of this 2164-nucleotide non-coding RNA. NCBI's taxonomy places the organism in Eukaryota, Metazoa, Chordata, Mammalia, Didelphimorphia, Didelphidae. The record is from RefSeq and is a predicted model, not a curated record.